GUGGGGAAUAUUGCACAAUGGGCGAAAGCCUGAUGCAGCAACGCCGCGUGAGUGAUGAAGGCCUUCGGGUUGUAAAGCUCUGUCUUCUGGGACGAUAAUGACGGUACCAGAGGAGGAAGCCACGGCUAACUACGUGCCAGCAGCCGCGGUAAUACGUAGGUGGCAAGCGUUGUCCGGAUUUACUGGGCGUAAAGGAUGCGUAGGCGGAUACUUAAGUCAGAUGUGAAAAUCCCGGGCUUAACUUGGGAACUGCAUUUGAAACUGGGUAUCUAGAGUGCGGGAGAGGAAAGUGGAAUUCCUAGUGUAGCGGUGAAAUGCGUAGAGAUUAGGAAGAACACCAGUGGCGAAGGCGACUUUCUGGACCGUAACUGACGCUGAGGCAUGAAAGCGUGGGGAGCAAACAGGAUUAGAAACCCUAGUAGUCC
Molecule: ribosomal RNA, 425 nt
Filed under: uncultured bacterium
Lineage: Bacteria
Description: bacterial SSU rRNA
Rfam family: Bacterial small subunit ribosomal RNA
Source: RNAcentral